GCCGGAUUGGGUACUGACCUCUAGAAGUACCGAAUAGCGGACUUAAAAUCCGCGGCCCCCGCAAGGGGCAUACGGGUUCGAGUCCCGUUCCGGGCACCA
Molecule: transfer RNA, 99 nt
Filed under: Rubrivivax sp.
Lineage: Bacteria; Pseudomonadati; Pseudomonadota; Betaproteobacteria; Burkholderiales; Sphaerotilaceae
Description: tRNA-Leu
Source: RNAcentral